Molecule: ribosomal RNA, 731 nt
Filed under: uncultured euryarchaeote
Lineage: Archaea; Methanobacteriati; Methanobacteriota
Description: SSU rRNA
Rfam family: Archaeal small subunit ribosomal RNA
Source: RNAcentral
AUAACCUUGGGAAACUGAGUAUAAGAUAAGAUAAUUUUGUUCUGGUGGAAAGUCUUUAACUUUAAACGUAAGGGCCUAAGGAUGAGUCGGCGGCCGAUUAGGUAGUUGGUGAGGUAAAGGCUCACCAAGCCUAUGAUCGGUAGGGGCCGUGAGAGCGGGAGCCCCGAGAGGGGCUCUGAGAUACUGGCCCCAGCCCUACGGGGUGCAGCAGGCGCGAAAACUCUACAAUGCACGAAAGUGUGACAGGGGGAUCCUAAGUGCUUAUACUUUUGUAUAGGCUUUUGUUAAGAAUAAAAAUCUUAGAGAAUAAGUGGUGGGUAAGACUGGUGCCAGCCGCCGCGGUAACACCAGCGCCACGAGUGGCAACCACAUUUAUUGGGCCUAAAGCGUCCGUAGCCGGAUUGGAAAAUCUCUUGUGAAAUCUUUAAGCUUAACUUAAAGGCGUGCAGGAGACACUACCUUUCUAGGAAUCGGGAAGAGUCAGAGGUAUUCCUGGGGGAGCGGUAAAAUGUUAUAAUCCCAGGAGGACCACCUAUGGCGAAGGCAUCUGACUAGAACGAAUCCGACGGUGAGGGACGAAAGCUAGGGGAGCAAACCGGAUUAGAUACCCGAGUAGUCCUAGCUGUAAACGCUGUGAGCUAGGUGUUGCAUAUUCCUCGAGAAUGUGCAGUGUCGAAGCGAAGGCGUUAAGCUCACCGCCUGGGAAGUACGGUCGCAAGACUGAAACUUAA